RNAcentral lists this transfer RNA (76 nucleotides) under Verrucomicrobiota bacterium. Its description in RNAcentral is "Verrucomicrobia bacterium tRNA-Trp". It matches the Rfam family "tRNA". From Rfam's summary of the family: Transfer RNA (tRNA) molecules are approximately 80 nucleotides in length. Lineage: Bacteria; Pseudomonadati; Verrucomicrobiota. The record is from RNAcentral. RNAcentral also lists the same sequence under 1 other name.
ACGGGAGUAACUCAACUGGUAGAGUAGCGGUCUCCAAAACCGCCUGUUGGGGGUUCGAGUCCCUCCUCCCGUGCCA